Molecule: ribosomal RNA, 471 nt
Filed under: uncultured bacterium
Lineage: Bacteria
Description: partial 16S ribosomal RNA
Rfam family: Bacterial small subunit ribosomal RNA
Source: RNAcentral
GACGAACGCUGGCGGCGUGCUUAACACAUGCAAGUCGAACGAUGAAGCCUAGCUUGCUAGGUGGAUUAGUGGCGAACGGGUGAGUAAUACGUGAGUGACCUACCUUUGACUCUGGGAUAAGCCUGGGAAACUGGGUCUAAUACCGGAUACGACCAAUCUCCGCAUGGGGUGUUGGUGGAAAGCGUUAUGGAGUGGUUUUAGAUGGGCUCACGGCCUAUCAGCUUGUUGGUGAGGUAAUGGCUUACCAAGGCGACGACGGGUAGCCGGCCUGAGAGGGUGACCGGGCACACUGGGACUGAGAGACGGACCAGACUCCUACGGGAGGCAGCAGUCGGGAAUAUUGCACAAUGGGCGCAAGCCUGAUGCAGCGACGUCGCGUGAGGGAUGACGGCCUUCGGGUGGUAAACCUCUGUUAGCAUCGAAGAAGCGAAAGUGACGGUAGGUGCAGAGAAAGCGCCGGCUAACUACGUG